This is a non-coding RNA of Rattus norvegicus (Norway rat), 8533 nucleotides long. NCBI's taxonomy places the organism in Eukaryota, Metazoa, Chordata, Mammalia, Rodentia, Muridae. The record is from RefSeq and is a predicted model, not a curated record.
UCAGAGAGCAUGCUGGGAACAGUUCGCCGCUCUCCUGGUGACUGAUCAGGAGGGAGAGGAGCAGACCGAGGCUCUGGCUCCAAGGACAGAGUCAGCUCUCUUGGAAUUUUGCAGUUGUCCUUUCCUCAUCGGUCUUACCAGCUGCCGGAAAAGCUUCCUCCCUGGGGCCGCUGGCCACUGUGCUGUGGAAUAUUCUGAAGAGGACCACAGAUAAAGGAGAUGCCAAACAUCUUAAGCUACAACGCGAGAGAGACGGUCCUCCUCUUAAAUUGUGAAGGUCUGACGGAAUGAGGUAUAUGGACCUGACGUUCGCUCAUACAGACACUAGCUCGCAAGCCGACACUGUGAAGCUAGUUUUAUAAAGUGAGGAGAAGCGCAGAUGUCCAUCCACUGGCAAAUGGAUAAGCACAGUGGGAUCUUAUUCGGCUAUGAAGUGAAGCAAAUUAGUCAUGCACCCACAAACACAAGCGGAUCUCAGAUGUAUUAUGUUAAACGGAAGGAAAAGCACGUCGGAUUCAGAAGGUGAUCGAGUAUGCAACUGGCCCCAUUUAUCCCAGGUUCUCAAACAGGCGAGCUUCCGGGAGCUAGGGGGUGGGAACAGCUUGACUCUGGUGGCGAGGGGGCUAAGAUGCUGUUAGAGGCUGUGGAACUGAUCUGUGUUUGGAUCAUGAUAGUGAUGAUAUCAUUGUUAUUUUGUUGAUCUGAAAUUCUUUGUAACAGUUACAUCUUCGACUGUCUCAUACACACCCAUAAAGCCAUCCCUCUCCAUGUCACCCCUAUCAAUCCCUCCUCCUAUCCCUUCCUAUCCUAUUUUCUCUUCGGUUAGUGACCCCUCUAAUUUAAACAGGAGAAUCUGUGUGAUCACUGGUUUGGGACUAGCCAUCAGAGCCUACUGGGGUCUAAAUUUAUACCCACCUGUAGGGUGACUCAAGUAAUCUUCCUCAGAGGCUUUUGGCUCCUCUGGGAAUGGUUCAUGGAUAGAGUUCAGGACCAAGAUUACAGGGGAAGCCCUUCUAGGGUAAAGCCCACACCAGAUAUGCAACAGGUGAUUCUCUGUCAAUAUGGCCUCAGAGGACAAAGCGCAUCCACCUCUCAAAUAUUUUGGCCCAUUUUAAAAAGUAGAAAUGGUGGUGGAAGCCAAACCUUAGGUCUAGAGCAGGCAGUCUUGGUACCAGAUCUUUCAAGGCUGUCACAAGACAACUUAAUACAUAGCCAGCUUUAUUAUUUAUUUUCCUUCCCUCUUUCUUUUCUUCGUUAUGUGUAUGCAUGUCUUACCCAGAUGUGUGUCUGUGCAGUGUGUGCAUGUCAUAUCCGGCAAAGCCGGAAGAGGGCAGCUUGUUCCCGGAACUGCACUGACAGGCAGCCGUGUGCUUCUGUGAAGUGCUAGGAAUGGAACUCGGGUCUUGAGCAAGAGCAGCCAGUGAUGAUCACUGAAGAGCCUCCUCUUUAUCCUUCAGAAGCCCUUUCCUUUCUUCCCUACCCCUCACCCAGUACCCAGCCUCUCUGUUCGUCUUGCUUUUUAAAGUGAACAAAGUCAGCUUCUACUUUCUGUGCCGCUUAGCUCUGUGCCCUGAAAAUGGACCUGCGGAAUGGUAGCGUUUCCAUCUUCCUGGGCCUUUCCACCGUCGUGCAAGAGACGAAGAGUUAAUGUGCACGUAGGUACUGAUGGAAAGCCUCAUACGAAUCGGGGCAAAGAAGAAAGUGAAGUUCAGGCAGUGGGGUGUGGGUGCAGAUUUAGGUGGGGGUGGGGUGGGAAGGUGGCAUCAAGCAGUUGAAUAGAGAGGAGAAGCAGGUGUGCGGUUACCCUGGCCACAGACAUUCCACACAAAGAUGCUCAGGAGACAGAGUUUGUAUGUGCACAGAGAGACAGAGACUGGAAGUCAGAGGAAGGGACAACAACACAUGGACACAGUGGGUUACACAGGAGUGGGUUACAGUCUAAAGGCAGUGGAAACCAUCGAAUGGUUUCAAGCAGAGAAACGGCAUUUAAGAAGGCUAAUGUGGAUUUUACAAUAUACUUCAUAAUGAAAGAAUAACUCAGGCUAUAUACGACAUUAUGCUGGAGGGGGCGAAACUGAGAACGUUUCCCCUAAAAUCUGUAAGGAGAACAUGGUGCCUCUUCUUUUCACCUUUAUUCAAUGUGAUGCUCAAAAUCUUAGCUAGCACAGCAAAGUGAGAGGAAGGAGGAAGACUGGGUGCGUAGGAAAGAAGUUAGAUUAUCUGUUUUCACACUGUAGGAUCCUGUACUAAAAAGACCCCCAAAGACUCCACCAAAAACCUCUCAGAUUCAACGAAGCUCGAAGCAACACUUUUUAAAAUCAACAAAGAUUAGUGAUUUUUUUUUCUAGAUAUGCACAAACUUUCUGAGAAAGAAAACAAGGGAAAACACCAUUAAUAGCUGGAACUUUGGUGUUCGAUAAUAAUCCUGAAACUUGUUCUACAGACCAGACUGGCCUCGAACUCACACAGAUGCUACUGCCUCUGCUUCCAGGGUGCUGGGAUUAGUGGUGUACCCCACCGCUACCCACUUCCUACACAUUUUAAAACUAUUAUAAAUAGGGUUUGUAUAUUACAAAUAGUUUGUUUCUUGGUUUUUGAGGCAGAACUUCACAGCAUAGUCAGGACUGUACUGAAACUCACUGUGUAGGCCAGGCUAGCCCCAAACUCCAAGAAGUCCUCUUUCCUCAGCCUCCUGAGGAUUAUUACCAUACACCUAAAAUACCUAAAAUGUCUAAAAUUCUCUGGGAAGUAUGGAAGGUGCCCUAGAACCAAAGCGAUCCUGAGGAAAAUAACGAUGCAGAAGUAUAAUACUCGAUUUCAAAUUACACGGCAGAGCCAUUGUAACAAAGAAAAGCAUGGUUUUGGCGCAAAAAUGGACACACAGAUACAUGGGAUAGAAUAGAGGACCCAGAAUAAACCCACAGAGCCACAGCUACGUGGCUUUUAACAGCGAUUACAGAGACACAUGCGGGAGAAACGAGACGGCUCUGCUCAGAGAAAUGGGGCGAGGUUCCACUCUCUCACCUCGGCUGAGGCUUUCUCUGCUGUGUGGUGUUUUAAUCUCUUGAGGUCCCAUUUGCCCUUUGCUGCUCUUUCUUCCAGACCCACAGGAGUCCAGCUCCAAAUAGUUGGAAGACUCUAAGACCUGAGCCAUUGAAACGGCUGGAGGACUAGGUGGGGAAAGUGCUCGAAGACUCAGACAUAGGAAGGACUUUGUAAAGAGGACCUAAAGAAAGGUCAGCAGUGGGCAAUGCUAGCAAGGAUGUGCACACACACACGUGCGUGUGUGGGUGUGCGUGCGUGCGUGUGGGUGUGUGGGUGUGCACACGCAUGUGUGUGACAAUAUGUCAGUCGGUAUGGAGUCUCCUCAAAACACUAGAAAUGGAAUUAUAAUAUGAUCCAGCUAUACAACUCCUGGGUUACCCAGAGAAAUCUGUGGUGGUUUGAAUUUGUUCGGCCCAGGGAGUGGCAUUAUUAGGAUGUCUUUUUUAGGGUUUUAUUGCUGUGAACAGACACCAUGAUCAAUGCAAGUUUUAUAAAGUACAACAUUUCAUUGGGGCUGGUUACAAGUUCAGAGGUUCAGUCCAUUAUCAUCAAGGUGGGAGCAAGGCAGCAUCCAGGCAGGCCUGGUGCAGGAAGAGCUGAGUUCUACAUCUUCACCUGAAGGAAGCCAGGAACAGCCUGAGCAUCCUCAGGCAGCUAGGAGGAGGGUCUCCAAGCCCACCCCACAGUGACACACCUACUCCAACAAGGCCACACCUUCUAAUAGUGCCACUCCCUGGGCCAAACAUGCAAACUAUCACACAGGAGGUGUGGCUUUGUUGGAGUGGGUGUGGCCUUAUUGGAGUAGGUGUGGCCUUGUUGGAGUAGGUGUGGCCUUGUUGGAGGAAGUGUGUCACUAAGGGGUGGGCUUUGAGGUCCUAUGUGUAAGCUCCAGGAAGUGUGGAAGAGACCCCCACCCUGGCUACCCGCAGAGGUCAGUCUCCUCCUUGCCUUAGGAUGAAGAUGUAGAACUCUCUGCAUCUCCAGCACUAUGUCUGCCUGCAUGCUGCCAUGCUUCCACCUUGAUAAUGGACUGAACCUCUGAGCCUGUAAGCCAGCCCCCAUGACUGAGACGGCAUCUAAGUGAGUGUACCACAUAGAGACUGGCACAUCUGUGUUUCUUAUUGUACUCACAACAGCCAAGAUAUAGGACUACUCUAGAUGUUAAUGGUUGAAUGAAUGAAUGAAUAAGUGAAUGGGUAGAGAAAAAUGCUUGUGUGUGGGGAGGGGUAGAAGGACAGAGAGAUAGGGGGAAAUUUAUUUAGGAUAGAAUUAUGUCACUUGUGAAGUCAAGGAUGGAACGGGAAGUCAUCGUGCUAAGCACAAUAAAGUAGACUUAGAAAAAACGAGUAUUGCAUGUUUCUCUCAUAUGCAAAAAGUAUAGAUUAAAAAAUGACAUGAAGAUAGAAAGUGACCAUAGGAGAUAAAAUGGUCUUAAGAAGAGAGAGUGGGAGACAGGUUGAAUAGUGGGGAGGGGAUUUUGUGUCUUUUCUCAAUACAGAAUCACUCUUGCUAUCUAUCUAUCUAUCUAUCUAUCUAUCUAUCUAUCUAUCUAUCUAUCACCUAUCAUCUAUCUCUCAUCUAUUAAUCAGUCUAUCACCUAUUAUCUCUAUCAUCUAUCAAUCUAUUGCCUAUCUAUCUGUCUUACAGAAAAGCAGAAGAGACUACUUGAGAGGGAAAAGAGCACAGGGCUGGGGCAGAAGGGAGGCCAGUGGAUAUGAUCAAAUACAGUGUUACCCGAGUGUGCAUACAAUACCGUAAUAAAAGGCACUGUGUUGUACAGAGACUGGAAACUAGUAGUGAGGUUCAGUGUGGCUGCUAAAGGUAGAACCAGUUCCAGGUGGAAUCCACUCUGAGCGGGACGCAGCUGUGGCAGCUCAAGCAGAAAAUGCUUAGACCUGGUUGGUGAAGAGAGACCAGAUUCUGGGUAUUUCUGUGAAACUCCAUGCAGACUGCAGGAGGCCCUGAGAGAUAAGUAAGAGGCACUCGGUACCCUCAAGGACUCAGGGUUCUUUUUAAGAGUCUGGGCUCCUGCACGGAGCCGUAUUGGAUUUGGGCCUAGCUGCUUUUUGACUGCAUGGCUCAAAGUGGCUAGGUGACUCUGGGCUGUUUGGCCACAGAUAUUCACCCCUAAGAUGACUGCCAUAAGUCUUAAGAUUGUUGAAUGAAAGCCUCUCCCAUGAAUUUACGGCACAGGAAGAUAACAUUCAAGGGAUGCCUCAGCUCCCUUAGCAGAUACCUGUUACCUCCUGAAUCAACACCCAGUGUCUCUACCGCCUGACCUCUUUGCCUCCAGCUAUCACUACCUAUAUCCGCACCUCCCCCUCCUCUGUGUUUCACAAAGGACACUCCCCCUACCUGAAAGCCUUAAAAGCUGUAACAUUCACCCCAAUAAACGAGACCUUGACAACAGAAUCUUGCUUGGUCUCCUUCUUCUCUCGCCCCCUAUUUAGGCCCAAGGGUAGCGCCCCUUUGGGACCCUGAAUAACUGGGUCCCCGCUGGCGGGGACAAGUGGCGCCCGAACACAGGGACCCCGAAGUACGGCCAACUACCGGACGACGGAGACAGGGGAUCCGCGGAGAGAUUGAGGACUCUUCAGGCUACAUCGCUCGUGCAUUGCUGGAGAGGGAGGUAAGACCGGUCGAAUAAGUGUCAUCCCAUCGCCAUGGGGAAGGUAUUGUCUAAGGAGGCUUGUUUCAUAGGAGAGAUCAAGCGCUCACUCAGGGAGAGAGGAUUAAGAGUAAAGAAAAAGGAUUUAAUCAAGUUUUUUUGUUUUAUUGAUGAAAGGUGUCCCUGGUUAAUUUUAAACAGUGUGGGGCUAGCUUAAGUAAAACUUGUAAUAAAAAAGGGACAAGGUAAUGGUAAAGUGUUUUUGCAUAUGCGUUCUUUUAGAGUUAUAUUUUAGUCUUUGGAUCCUGACUAGAGAGAGUCUGGUAAAACAUAUCUUAUUCCAAACAACAAUUAAAUUGGUUAUUACAAAAUACUGAUAUUUGGCCUAUCACAUAUACAAAUCUCAGACAAAAUUGAUAAUUUUACUCUUUACAUGCUUUUGUAUUUCCUAUAAAUCUGUGCAUACAACCCAUAGGAAAUGAGCUUACUAUAUUUAUAGGUGGUUCAUCUAAUGAAAAGGCUACAUGUAUGAUUAGAUCACUUGUUUAUUCUCUUCAGUUUCCCCUGCUUUAGCACAGAUUAUUAAAUUACGUGCUGUAGCCACUGUUUUUUUAAAAAAAAAAAUCAAGCUUUUAAGUCAUAUACUGAUAGCCAAUGUAUGGCUUAUGGUUUACAGUUGAUUAAAAAGUUUCCCUUUUUAGAUACUAUUAGCCCUCAAAUUAUACAAUUACUUAAUGCUAUAUUAGAGACAGGUUUUCUACUUAAAAUCAAUGAGUGAUUUCAGUGUGAAUUGUCUGACAACUCACUGUCCUUUCAGUGCUCUGGCUCAGACAACUAAACAAAACCAUAGACCCAGCUCUUUGAAAAUGGUAAUGGAGUUGAUAACACACCCUCUUGAAAAGAGGAAGACUCCAUUUGCUUACUUUCAACUCCUAGCCUCACCCUGCCGGCUCAGGGAUUUCUAGUGUGACUAAAUCUGGACAAUAUUUAUAGGAUUUGGCAUCUCUAAUUAAUGCUUAUGUUUAGGUAAAUAAAGCUAGUGAGGGGCUGGAGAGAUGGCUCAGUGGUUAAGAGCACUAAGUACUGUUCCUUUAUAGGCCAUUUAAGAACUCAAACUGGAUUGCCUAGACCCCUUAACAAGGGAGGACAAUGAUACCAGACAGAUUAUAGGCCUUACAUAGGAACAGUUAGUCAAAAAAUCUCAUUCUUUAUAUAUCCAAAACAGUAAUGCUGGAGACAAUAAUUUGGUAUAAAAGUCAAUUUAUAAAUACAAGUGCUCAGUGUCCUCAAUUUAAUCCUCAAGGACUUAUCUUAAUAAAUAAUAUUUUAACAAUAUUUUAGUAAAUAAAAAAGGGGGAGUUAUCCCUGUAUUCUAAAAUAUGCUCCUUUUAUUUCAAUUUUAAAAUUUGGAUGCCAAGAAACACUCUGAGUUUAUGGCAUCCUACAACUAGGCAUACUUCUGCCUAGGUGAAAUAGAAAGAUCCACAUAUUGGCGUGACCCUGUUCAGAUAUUUUAUACGGGGAAGAGGGAAUCUUUGUGUUUUUUUCUACAGGAUGCUACAGGAGUGUGCCAGCUGCCUGAGUGUCUGGUGAGACAUGCUGAUCCUGGGAGCAUGAAGAUUCAGCUCUCCUGGUUCGGGUCCCUGGAGUCAUUCCUGUGUCCUUGGAGGAAUAUGGAAGAUUCCCCCUCAUCUUUUGUCAUCACAGAAAUUUUGGCGUUGCUACAGUCAGUGUUACCACUGCGUGUUCCCGUCCCACCACGGCCUAUGCUCAGACCCUCUGUGCACUGCUGCGUUCUGGAGAAGACUGGACUCCAGCUGUUACCCCUGCCCCCCUCAUUCCCCUGGCUACUCUUGCUGCCUUAACUGGUGCUAUUGUUAAGCAAGCACAGUGGGUGAACUUUCUGGAGUAGUUGCUAACAAUUGGGAAUUCUAAAUUUUAUUACAGGAGAGGCAUGACUAGGCCCUUGGUGGUAUGGCCAUAGCAGCUGAGGAGAACCAGAUGAGGUGCCCACUACUUAUCGGGAGAGGCUCAAUUUCCACAAUCUCUUAUAUUAAUGCCAUCUGGCUCCUACUCUUUCGCCCCUGGGCUCAAGUAAGAGGAAUGAGAAGAUGAUCCAAUGUAGCUAUCCUCAGGGACGGGCAACUUCCUCUGACCCUUGACCAAUCUAAGACAGGAACCUUGGGGGCGACAAGGUGAUCCUAUGAUGGAUAAGGCUGGGGUUUGAGAGGUCGAUCCUAAGACAGAGGUGGCUACACCCCGUUUAAAUGUAUGGGCCGGUCAAAUGCUCCUCUGCCCAGUUUCUCCCCCAAUAAACACACACGUAUAGCCCAGAACGGUGUGUUACAGCAUAAGUUCAUUCCUAGCCAUUGGGGUGCAGUCCUAACUGCAAGAGUGGCUCACCAUGGCCGAGCUGGGCACUCUGUGAGGCAUGUCUGAUCUCUCUCAGACCACUACUUCCACCUAAUGGUCUUUUAUAAAAGAAAAAUGGGGGAGAUGCACGGAGCCGUAUUGGAUUUGGGCCUAGCCGCUUUUUGACUGCAUGGCUCAAAGUGGCUAGGUGACUCUGGGCUGUUUGGCCACAGAUAUUCACCCCUAAGAUGACUGCCAUAAGUCUUAAGAUUGUUGAAUGAAAGCCUCUCCCAUGAAUUUACGGCACAGGAAGAUAACAUUCAAGGGAUGCCUCAGCUCCCUUAGCAGAUACCUGUUACCUCCUGAAUCAACACCCAGUGUCUCUACCGCCUGACCUCUUUGCCUCCAGCUAUCACUACCUAUAUCCGCACCUCCCCCUCCUCUGUGUUUCACAAAGGACACUCCCCCUACCUGAAAGCCUUAAAAGCUGUAACAUUCACCCCAAUAAACGAGACCUUGACAACAGAA